UGGGGAAUUUUGGACAAUGGGGGCAACCCUGAUCCAGCAAUGCCGCGUGUGUGAAGAAGGCCUUCGGGUUGUAAAGCACUUUUGUCCGGGAAGAAAUCGCACCUGAUAAUACCGGGUGUGGAUGACGGUACCGGAAGAAUAAGGACCGGCUAACUACGUGCCAGCAGCCGCUGUAAUACGUAGGGUCCAAGCGUUAAUCGGAAUUACUGGGCGUAAAGCGUGCGCAGGCGGUUGUGCAAGACCGAUGUGAAAUCCCCGGGCUUAACCUGGGAAUUGCAUUGGUGACUGCACGGCUAGAGUGUGUCAGAGGGGGGUAGAAUUCCACGUGUAGCAGUGAAAUGCAUAGAGAUGUGGAGGAAUACCGAUGGCGAAGGCAGCCCCCUGGGAUAACACUGACGCUCAUGCACGAAAGCGUGGGGAGCAAACAGG
Molecule: ribosomal RNA, 429 nt
Filed under: Bacillota bacterium
Lineage: Bacteria; Bacillati; Bacillota
Description: Firmicutes bacterium partial 16S ribosomal RNA
Rfam family: Bacterial small subunit ribosomal RNA
Source: RNAcentral